AAUGAACGCUGGCGGCGUGCUUAACACAUGCAAGUCGCACGAGAAUUCUUCUGCUUGCAGAAGAUAGUAAAGUGGCGCACGGGUGAGUAACGCGUGGGUAAUCUACCUCCGAAUCGGGGAUAACAUCGCGAAAGUGGUGCUAAUACCGGAUGACAUCAUUGCAUCUUUGGAUGCGAUGAUCAAAGGUGGCCUCUACAUGUAAGCUAUUGUUUGGAGAUGAGCCCGCGUACCAUUAGCUUGUUGGUAGGGUAACGGCCUACCAAGGCGACGAUGGUUAGCUGGUCUGAGAGGAUGAUCAGCCACACUGGAACUGACACACGGUCCAGACUCCUACGGGUGG
Molecule: ribosomal RNA, 340 nt
Filed under: uncultured Pseudomonadota bacterium
Lineage: Bacteria; Pseudomonadati; Pseudomonadota
Description: bacterial SSU rRNA
Rfam family: Bacterial small subunit ribosomal RNA
Source: RNAcentral